This 71-nucleotide transfer RNA is filed under the name Hydropsyche simulans. Its description in RNAcentral is "tRNA-Ala". Lineage: Eukaryota; Metazoa; Arthropoda; Insecta; Trichoptera; Hydropsychidae. The record is from RNAcentral.
AAAAAAAAAGGAUUAUAAUUUAUUUAUAAAAAUAAUUAAUUUGCAAUUAAUAUAAAUUGACUUUAAUCAAU